This 626-nucleotide long non-coding RNA is filed under the name Salmo salar (Atlantic salmon). Its description in RNAcentral is "lncRNA (ENSSSAG00000117450.1)". Lineage: Eukaryota; Metazoa; Chordata; Actinopteri; Salmoniformes; Salmonidae. The record is from RNAcentral.
CAGCAUUUCACUGUGAGGUCUACUACACCUGUUUUAUUCAGCAUUUCACUGUAAGGUCUACUACACCUGUUGUAUUCAGCAUUUCACUGUGAGGUCUACUACACCUGUUGUAUUCAGCAUUUCACUGUGAGGUCUACUACACCUGUUGUAUUCAGCAUUUCACUGUGAGGUCUACCUACACCUGUUGUAUUCUGCAUUUCACUGUAAGGUCUACUACACCUGUUGUAUUCAGCAUUUCACUGUGAGGUCUACCUACACCUGUUGUAUUCUGCAUUUCACUGUGAGGUCUACUACACCUGUUGUUAUUCAGCAUUUCACUGUGAGGUCUACUACACCUGUUAUAUUCAGCAUUUCACUGUGAGGUCUACUACACCUGUUGUAUUCAGCAUUUCACUGUAAGGUCUACUACACCUGUUGUAUUCAGCAUUUCACUGUGAGGUCUACACCUGUUUUAUUCAGCAUUUCACUGUAAGGUCUACUACACCUGUUGUAUUCAGCAUUUCACUGUGAGGUCUACUACACCUGUUGUAUUCAGCAUUUCACUGUAAGGUCUACUACACCUGUUGUAUUCAGCAUUUCACUGUGAGGUCUACACCUGUUUUAUUCAGCAUUUCACUGUAAGGUCU